RNAcentral lists this ribosomal RNA (493 nucleotides) under uncultured bacterium. Its description in RNAcentral is "bacterial SSU rRNA". It matches the Rfam family "Bacterial small subunit ribosomal RNA", at positions 903 to 1397 of the family's 1533-position model. The record is from RNAcentral.
AAAGGAAUUGACGGGGACCCGCACAAGUAGCGGAGCAUGUGGUUUAAUUCGAAGCAACGCGAAGAACCUUACCUAAGCUUGACAUCCUUCGGACGGACAUUUAAUCAUGUCUUCCCUUCGGGGCUGAAGUGACAGGUGGUGCAUGGUUGUCGUCAGCUCGUGUCGUGAGAUGUUGGGUUAAGUCCCGCAACGAGCGCAACCCUUGUCUUUAGUUGCCAUCAUUAAGUUGGGCACUCUAGAGAGACUGCCAGGGAUAACCUGGAGGAAGGUGGGGAUGACGUCAAAUCAUCAUGCCCCUUAUGCUUAGGGCUACACACGUGCUACAAUGGGUGGUACAGAGGGCUGCCAAACCGUGAGGUCGAGCUAAUCCCUUAAAGCCAUUCUCAGUUCGGAUUGCAGGCUGAAACUCGCCUGCAUGAAGCUGGAGUUACUAGUAAUCGCAGAUCAGAAUGCUGCGGUGAAUGCGUUCCCGGGUCUUGUACACACCGCCCGU